CAAUAGCGUAUAUUAAAGUUGUUGCAGUUAAAAAGCUCGUAGUUGGAUUUGUGGCGUACGGUGUGUUCCGGGCACUUGUUGUCUGAGUAACCUGCUGUUGCCAUCCUUGGGUGGAACCUGCGUGGCAUUAGGUUGUCGUGCAGGGGAUGCCCAUCAUUUACUGUGAAAAAAUUAGAGUGUUCAAAGCAGGCUUAUGCCGUUGAAUAUAUUAGCAUGGAAUAAUGAGAUAGGACUUUUUUGCUAUUUUGUUGGUUUGCGCAAAGAGGUAAUGAUUAAUAGGGACAGUUGGGGGUAUUCGUAUUCCAUUGUCAGAGGUGAAAUUCUUGGAUUUUUGGAAGACGAACUACUGCGAAAGCAUUUACCAAGGAUGUUUUCAUUAA
This 380-nucleotide ribosomal RNA is filed under the name uncultured eukaryote. Its description in RNAcentral is "partial 18S ribosomal RNA". It matches the Rfam family "Eukaryotic small subunit ribosomal RNA", at positions 592 to 976 of the family's 1831-position model. The record is from RNAcentral.